RNAcentral lists this non-coding RNA (27 nucleotides) under Mus musculus (house mouse). The record is from RNAcentral. Lineage: Eukaryota; Metazoa; Chordata; Mammalia; Rodentia; Muridae.
UACCAAAUUCCUAAAUUGAGCUGGGCC